UGACAUCCACAGAACUUUCCAGAGAUGGAUUGGUGCCUUCGGGAACUGUGAGACAGGUGCUGCAUGGCUGUCGUCAGCUCGUGUUGUGAAAUGUUGGGUUAAGUCCCGCAACGAGCGCAACCCUUAUCCUUUGUUGCCAGCGGUCCGGCCGGGAACUCAAAGGAGACUGCCAGUGAUAAACUGGAGGAAGGUGGGGAUGACGUCAAGUCAUCAUGGCCCUUACGACCAGGGCUACACACGUGCUACAAUGGCAUAUACAAAGAGAAGCGACCUCGCGAGAGCAAGCGGA
RNAcentral lists this ribosomal RNA (289 nucleotides) under Klebsiella pneumoniae. RNAcentral describes it as "partial 16S ribosomal RNA". It matches the Rfam family "Bacterial small subunit ribosomal RNA", at positions 982 to 1271 of the family's 1533-position model. The record is from RNAcentral. Lineage: Bacteria; Pseudomonadati; Pseudomonadota; Gammaproteobacteria; Enterobacterales; Enterobacteriaceae.